This 864-nucleotide ribosomal RNA is filed under the name uncultured archaeon. Its description in RNAcentral is "SSU rRNA". It matches the Rfam family "Archaeal small subunit ribosomal RNA", at positions 474 to 1337 of the family's 1478-position model. The record is from RNAcentral.
AACCAGCACCUCAAGUGGUCAGGAUGAUUAUUGGGCCUAAAGCAUCCGUAGCCGGCUCUGUAAGUUUUCGGUUAAAUCUGUACGCUUAACGUACAGGCUGCCGGGAAUACUGCAGAGCUAGGUAGUGGGAGAGGUAGACGGUACUCGGUAGGAAGGGGUAAAAUCCUUUGAUCUAUUGAUGACCACCUGUGGCGAAGGCGGUCUACCAGAACACGUACGACGGUGAGGGAUGAAAGCUGGGGGAGCAAACCGGAUUAGAUACCCGGGUAGUCCCAGCUGUAAACUAUGCAAACUCAGUGAUGCAUUGGCUUGUGGCCAAUGCAGUGCUGCAGGGAAGCCGUUAAGUUUGCCGCCUGGGAAGUACGUACGCAAGUAUGAAACUUAAAGGAAUUGGCGGGGGAGCACCACAAGGGGUGAAGCCUGCGGUUCAAUUGGAGUCAACGCCAGAAAUCUUACCCGGAGAGACAGCAGAAUGAAGGUCAAGCUGAAGACUUUACCAGACAAGCUGAGAGGUGGUGCAUGGCCGUCGCCAGCUCGUGCCGUGAGAUGUCCUGUUAAGUCAGGUAACGAGCGAGAUCCCUGCCUCUAGUUGCCACCAUUACUCUCAGGAGUAGUGGGGCGAAUUAGCGGGACCGCCGCAGUUAAUGCGGAGGAAGGAAGGGGCCACGGCAGGUCAGUAUGCCCCGAAACUCUGGGGCCACACGCGGGCUGCAAUGGUAACGACAAUGGGUUUCGAAUUCGAAAGGAUGAGGUAAUCCUCAAACGUUACCACAGUUACGACUGAGGGCUGCAACUCGCCCUCACGAAUAUGGAAUCCCUAGUAACUGCGUGUCACUAUCGCGCGGUGAAUACGUCCCUGCUCCU